CCUACGGGAGGCAGCAGUGGGGAAUAUUGGGCAAUGGGCGCAAGCCUGACCCAGCAAUGCCGCGUGAAGGAAGAAGGCUUUCGGGUUGUAAACUUCUUUGACAGGGGAAGAGCGGAAGACGGUACCCUGAAAACAAGCCACGGCUCACUACUGGCCAGCAGCCGCGGUAAUACGUAGGUGGCAAGCGUUGUCCGGAUUUACGGGGUGUAAAGGGCGUGUAGCCGGGAAGGCAAGUCCGAUGUGAAAUCUGGAGGCUCAACCUCCAAAUUGCAUUUGAAACUGUUUUUCUUGAGUACGGGAGAGGCAGACGGAAUUCCUUGUGUAGCGGUGAAAUGCGUAGAUAUAAGGAGGAACACCAGUGGCGAAGGCGGUCUGCUGGACAGCAACUGACGGUGAGGCGCGAAAGCGUGGGGAGCAAACAGGAUUAGAUACCCUGGUAGUC
This 442-nucleotide ribosomal RNA is filed under the name uncultured bacterium. RNAcentral's name for it is "partial 16S ribosomal RNA". It matches the Rfam family "Bacterial small subunit ribosomal RNA", at positions 338 to 795 of the family's 1533-position model. The record is from RNAcentral.